Molecule: ribosomal RNA, 459 nt
Filed under: uncultured bacterium
Lineage: Bacteria
Description: bacterial SSU rRNA
Rfam family: Bacterial small subunit ribosomal RNA
Source: RNAcentral
UACGGAAGGCAGCAGUGGGGAAUAUUGCACAAUGGGCGAAAGCCUGAUGCAGCUAUGCCGCGUGUAUGAAGAAGGCCUUAGGGUUGUAAAGUACUUUCAGCAGGGAGGAAAAGAAAUAAAACUAAUAAUUUUAUUUUGUGACGUUACCUGAAGAAGAAGCACCGGCUAACUCCGUGCCAGCAGCCGCGGUAAUACGGAGGGUGCAAGCGUUAAUCAGAAUUACUGGGCGUAAAGAGCGCGUAGGUGGUUUUUUUAAGUCAGAUGUGAAAUCCCUAGGCUUAACCUAGGAACUGCAUUUUGAAACUGAAAAACUAGAGUAUCGUAGAGGGAGGUAGAAUUCUAGGUGUAGCGGUGAAAUGCGUAGAUAUCUGGAGGAAUACCUGUGGCGAAAGCGGCCUCCUAAACGAAUACUGACACUGAGGUGCGAAAGCGUGGGGAGCGAAACAGGGAUUAGAUACC